UCACACUGGAACUGAGACACGGUCCAGACUCCUACGGGAGGCAGCAGUGGGGAAUAUUGGACAAUGGGCGAAAGCCUGAUCCAGCCAUGCCGCGUGUGUGAAGAAGGUCUUCGGAUUGUAAAGCACUUUAAGUUGGGAGGAAGGGCAGUAAGUUAAUACCUUGCUGUUUUGACGUUACCAACAGAAUAAGCACCGGCUAACUUCGUGCCAGCAGCCGCGGUAAUACGAAGGGUGCAAGCGUUAAUCGGAAUUACUGGGCGUAAAGCGCGCGUAGGUGGUUCAGCAAGUUGGAGGUGAAAUCCCCGGGCUCAACCUGGGAACUGCCUCCAAAACUACUGAGCUAGAGUACGGUAGAGGGUAGUGGAAUUUCCUGUGUAGCGGUGAAAUGCGUAGAUAUAGGAAGGAACACCAGUGGCGAAGGCGACUACCUGG
This 432-nucleotide ribosomal RNA is filed under the name Pseudomonas sp. AO2_31. RNAcentral's name for it is "bacterial SSU rRNA". It matches the Rfam family "Bacterial small subunit ribosomal RNA", at positions 308 to 732 of the family's 1533-position model. The record is from RNAcentral. Lineage: Bacteria; Pseudomonadati; Pseudomonadota; Gammaproteobacteria; Pseudomonadales; Pseudomonadaceae.